Pelobates cultripes (western spadefoot toad) is the source of this 266-nucleotide non-coding RNA. Lineage: Eukaryota; Metazoa; Chordata; Amphibia; Anura; Pelobatidae. The record is from the annotation of a GenBank genome assembly.
GUCUGAUGGCUUAAUCCUUUAAGUACUACAUGGAGUGUCCUACAUUUCAAAUAUGUCAUUAUCCAAAGGCUCUGUGAAGCGUGAAUGAAUAGUUAUCCUUAUUUACAAGAAGCCCUGUAGAACAGAUGUGUAUAUAUUAACAUAUGCACAUUACUUGCAGGUGACUGACACUACAUAAUACUUAUUCCUAGUGAUGUCCCGAACGGUUCGCCGCGGACUCAUAAUUGAGUAAACUUUGACCCUGUAUCUCACAGUCAGCAGACACA